Non-coding RNA from Marmota flaviventris (yellow-bellied marmot), 324 nucleotides. The record is from RefSeq and is a predicted model, not a curated record. NCBI's taxonomy places the organism in Eukaryota, Metazoa, Chordata, Mammalia, Rodentia, Sciuridae.
CCUAACCGGCGCUCGGUCCCCUUAAAGGAGCAGGGACAGCAGGGACGUUGGUGUUAAGCUUGGGGUCAAGAAGCAAAGCGACCUGAGCAGAGGUUUGUUCUCAAUUGAGCCCGCAGCACUCUCGAGGUCACUCUCCCGCCACCCUCCUCACAUCACCGCACAGGAAACGAUAUUGGGCAUGGGAACUUUUGACUCAGUGAUGGUAGAAAUGAAAUCUCGUCAAACACAGGCACAAACACACAGGCAGGGCUUUAGUUGGGCCUUUGCCAAAGCCGGUAACUGGGACUUCAGCUAGGGGGAGACAACCCUGACCGAGGGACCAGG